RNAcentral lists this ribosomal RNA (2064 nucleotides) under Klebsiella pneumoniae. Its description in RNAcentral is "partial 23S ribosomal RNA". It matches the Rfam family "Bacterial large subunit ribosomal RNA", at positions 146 to 2236 of the family's 2925-position model. Lineage: Bacteria; Pseudomonadati; Pseudomonadota; Gammaproteobacteria; Enterobacterales; Enterobacteriaceae. The record is from RNAcentral.
CACUAUCGUUAACUGAAUACAUAGGUUAACGAGGCGAACCGGGGGAACUGAAACAUCUAAGUACCCCGAGGAAAAGAAAUCAACCGAGAUUCCCCCAGUAGCGGCGAGCGAACGGGGAGCAGCCCAGAGUCUGAAUCAGCUUGUGUGUUAGUGGAACGGUCUGGAAAGUCCGACGGUACAGGGUGAUAGUCCCGUACACCAAAAUGCACAGGCUGUGAACUCGAAGAGUAGGGCGGGACACGUGGUAUCCUGUCUGAAUAUGGGGGGACCAUCCUCCAAGGCUAAAUACUCCUGACUGACCGAUAGUGAACCAGUACCGUGAGGGAAAGGCGAAAAGAACCCCGGCGAGGGGAGUGAAAAAGAACCUGAAACCGUGUACGUACAAGCAGUGGGAGCACCUUCGGGUGUGACUGCGUACCUUUUGUAUAAUGGGUCAGCGACUUAUAUUCUGUAGCAAGGUUAACCGUAUAGGGGAGCCGCAGGGAAACCGAGUCUUAACUGGGCGUUAAGUUGCAGGGUAUAGACCCGAAACCCGGUGAUCUAGCCAUGGGCAGGUUGAAGGUUGGGUAACACUAACUGGAGGACCGAACCGACUAAUGUUGAAAAAUUAGCGGAUGACUUGUGGCUGGGGGUGAAAGGCCAAUCAAACCGGGAGAUAGCUGGUUCUCCCCGAAAGCUAUUUAGGUAGCGCCUCGUGAACUCAUCUUCGGGGGUAGAGCACUGUUUCGGCUAGGGGGUCAUCCCGACUUACCAACCCGAUGCAAACUACGAAUACCGAAGAAUGUUAUCACGGGAGACACACGGCGGGUGCUAACGUCCGUCGUGAAGAGGGAAACAACCCAGACCGCCAGCUAAGGUCCCAAAGUCAUGGUUAAGUGGGAAACGAUGUGGGAAGGCACAGACAGCCAGGAUGUUGGCUUAGAAGCAGCCAUCAUUUAAAGAAAGCGUAAUAGCUCACUGGUCGAGUCGGCCUGCGCGGAAGAUGUAACGGGGCUAAACCAUGCACCGAAGCUGCGGCAGCGACACUAUGUGUUGUUGGGUAGGGGAGCGUUCUGUAAGCCUGCGAAGGUGUGCUGUGAGGCAUGCUGGAGGUAUCAGAAGUGCGAAUGCUGACAUAAGUAACGAUAAAGCGGGUGAAAAGCCCGCUCGCCGGAAGACCAAGGGUUCCUGUCCAACGUUAAUCGGGGCAGGGUGAGUCGACCCCUAAGGCGAGGCCGAAAGGCGUAGUCGAUGGGAAACAGGUUAAUAUUCCUGUACUUGGUGUUACUGCGAAGGGGGGACGGAGAAGGCUAUGUUAGCCGGGCGACGGUUGUCCCGGUUUAAGCAUGUAGGCUGGUUAUCCAGGCAAAUCCGGAUAAUCAAGGCUGAGGUGUGAUGACGAGGCACUACGGUGCUGAAGUAACAAAUGCCCUGCUUCCAGGAAAAGCCUCUAAGCAUCAGGUAACAUCAAAUCGUACCCCAAACCGACACAGGUGGUCAGGUAGAGAAUACCAAGGCGCUUGAGAGAACUCGGGUGAAGGAACUAGGCAAAAUGGUGCCGUAACUUCGGGAGAAGGCACGCUGGUGUGUAGGUGAAGCCCCUGCGGGUGGAGCUGAGACCAGUCGAAGAUACCAGCUGGCUGCAACUGUUUAUUAAAAACACAGCACUGUGCAAACACGAAAGUGGACGUAUACGGUGUGACGCCUGCCCGGUGCCGGAAGGUUAAUUGAUGGGGUUAUCCGUAAGGAGAAGCUCUUGAUCGAAGCCCCGGUAAACGGCGGCCGUAACUAUAACGGUCCUAAGGUAGCGAAAUUCCUUGUCGGGUAAGUUCCGACCUGCACGAAUGGCGUAAUGAUGGCCAGGCUGUCUCCACCCGAGACUCAGUGAAAUUGAACUCGCUGUGAAGAUGCAGUGUACCCGCGGCAAGACGGAAAGACCCCGUGAACCUUUACUAUAGCUUGACACUGAACAUUGAGCCUUGAUGUGUAGGAUAGGUGGGAGGCUUUGAAGCGUGGACGCCAGUCUGCGUGGAGCCAACCUUGAAAUACCACCCUUUAAUGUUUGAUGUUCUAACGUUGGCCCCU